Molecule: long non-coding RNA, 698 nt
Organism: Cucurbita moschata (crookneck pumpkin)
Lineage: Eukaryota; Viridiplantae; Streptophyta; Magnoliopsida; Cucurbitales; Cucurbitaceae
Exons: 3
Source: RefSeq, a predicted model, not a curated record
UUGCUCUUUGAACUUGUUUGUGUUUUCGAGGGUGUCUGAGAGUACGGGAAAAUUGAGGGUGUUAGCCGGAAAAACGUGUGGGUUGGUUCGCUGGGAAGUUUUCUUGUUCGGCAAGUUCUCGAAAUUGAUUAUGUUGCUGUCUUGGAGGAAGAGUUGAGUGAAAGUUAGUGUCGACGUCGGAAUCGCUGCGUCGAAGAAGGCAAACCGUUGAAAGCGAAGGAGGAGGACGCCACAUACGGUCGUCGGAAACGGAAGGGAUUGUGUCGUCGGUAGCGGCGGCACAUCAGAUUAGGGUUUUCAUGAGGGUUCGGGUGAAGAAGAUGCAGAGUCGGGUCAGGUUUCGACCUCUGAAACGGCCCACGGACGAAUGCGGGUCUUGUGCGUUUCGGCCCAACACGGAUCUCGGCUUGGCUCCGUCAAAUCUCGCGGCUCGACUUGGUGGCUUAGUUAGUUAGCUUGGCAGCUCGGCUUGGCAGCUCGGUAUCGCUAUAAUAUAUCGAUUCUAAGGUUUUUGGCCCUUCCGAAGCUGUUUCUGCCCUUAGUUUUACUAUCUGAGGACGUAUUUAACCGUUGGGAUUAGCUUGUUGUGAGUGACUCCAACCAAGACCAUCAAGUAAAGGCAAGGCGCCAAUGUACAGUUGACGGCGGAGCUGAGGACACCAUGGAAGUUGGAGAGGGAAUAUUUUUAGGAGUUUACG